This 1386-nucleotide ribosomal RNA is filed under the name metagenome. RNAcentral describes it as "bacterial SSU rRNA". It matches the Rfam family "Bacterial small subunit ribosomal RNA", at positions 127 to 1487 of the family's 1533-position model. The record is from RNAcentral.
UACCCUUGAAUUUGGGAUAACACUUCGAAAGGGGUGCUAAUACCGGAUAACAUCAUGAACUCUUAGGGGUUUAUGAUCAAAGAAGGCCUCUCCAUGGAAGCUUCUGUUUGAGGAUGAGCCCGCGUACCAUUAGCUAGUUGGUGGGGUAAUGGCCUACCAAGGCAACGAUGGUUAGCUGGUCUGAGAGGAUGAUCAGCCACACUGGAACUGACACACGGUCCAGACUCCUACGGGAGGCAGCAGUGAGGAAUUUUGCGCAAUGGGGGAAACCCUGACGCAGCAACGCCGCGUGAGUGAUGAAGGCCUUCGGGUCGUAAAACUCUGUCAAGUGGGAAGAACCUACGUAAGGAUAAUACCCUUAUGUACUGACGGUACCACUGAAGGAAGCACCGGCUAACUCCGUGCCAGCAGCCGCGGUAAUACGGGGGGUGCAAGCGUUAUUCGGAAUUAUUGGGCGUAAAGGGCGCGCAGGCGGCCCUAUCAGUCAGAUGUGAAAGCCCUGGGCUUAACCCAGGAAGUGCAUUUGAUACUGUAGGGCUUGAGUAUGGGAGAGGGAAGUGGAAUUCCUGGUGUAGAGGUGAAAUUCGUAGAUAUCAGGAGGAACACCGGUGGCGAAGGCGACUUCCUGGACCAAUACUGACGCUGAGGCGCGAAGGCGUGGGGAGCAAACAGGAUUUGAUACCCUGGUAGUCCACGCAGUAAACGGUGAUCACUAGGUGUAGCGGGUAUUGACCCCUGCUGUGCCGCAGUUAACGCAUUAAGUGAUCCGCCUGGGGAGUACGAUCGCAAGAUUAAAACUCAAAGGAAUUGACGGGGGCCCGCACAAGCGGUGGAGCAUGUGGUUUAAUUCGACGCAACGCGAAGAACCUUACCUGGAUUUGACAUCUCGGGAAUCCCUUGGAAACUUGGGAGUGCCCUUCGGGGAACCUGAAGACAGGUGCUGCAUGGCUGUCGUCAGCUCGUGUCGUGAGAUGUUGGGUUAAGUCCCGCAACGAGCGCAACCCUUAUCUUUAGUUACCAGCAUUUCGGAUGGGGACUCUAGAGAUACUGCCCCGGUUAACGGGGAGGAAGGUGGGGAUGACGUCAAGUCCUCAUGGCCUAUAUCCAGGGCUACACACGUGCUACAAUGGGCGGUACAAAGAGUCGCGAGCCUGCGAAGGUUAGCUAAUCUCAUAAAGCCGUCCUAAGUUCGGAUUGGAGUCUGCAACUCGACUCCAUGAAGCUGGAAUCGCUAGUAAUCGUGGAUCAGCAUGCCACGGUGAAUACGUUCCCGGGCCUUGUACACACCGCCCGUCACACCAUGAGAGUUGAUUGUACCGGAAGUUGUCGGGCCAACCUUUCGAGGAGGCAGGCACCUAUGGUAUGAUUGAUGAUUGGGGUGAAGUC